ACUUGCUCUGACAGAAUAUAUGCUAACAUUGGAACGAUACAGUGACGACUGUCAUGAUCCCUGUGGCAUGAUGACAUACAGUUUUAUGAAGUAGUUCAAGUUUUA
Acomys russatus (golden spiny mouse) is the source of this 105-nucleotide small nuclear RNA. Lineage: Eukaryota; Metazoa; Chordata; Mammalia; Rodentia; Muridae. The record is from RefSeq and is a predicted model, not a curated record.